GGGCCGGUAGCUCAGCUGGCAGAGCAGGGGACUUUUAAUCCCAAGGUCGUUGGUUCGAAUCCAACCCGGCCCA
RNAcentral lists this transfer RNA (73 nucleotides) under Pseudomonadota bacterium. Its description in RNAcentral is "tRNA-Lys". It matches the Rfam family "tRNA". From Rfam's summary of the family: Transfer RNA (tRNA) molecules are approximately 80 nucleotides in length. Their secondary structure includes four short double-helical elements and three loops (D, anti-codon, and T loops). Further hydrogen bonds mediate the characteristic L-shaped molecular structure. tRNAs have two regions of fundamental functional importance: the anti-codon, which is responsible for specific mRNA codon recognition, and the 3' end, to which the tRNAs corresponding amino acid is attached (by aminoacyl-tRNA synthetases). tRNAs cope with the degeneracy of the genetic code in two manners: having more than one tRNA (with a specific anti-codon) for a particular amino acid; and 'wobble' base-pairing, i.e. permitting non-standard base-pairing at the 3rd anti-codon position. The record is from RNAcentral. Lineage: Bacteria; Pseudomonadati; Pseudomonadota. RNAcentral also lists the same sequence under 2 other names.